This 969-nucleotide unclassified non-coding RNA is filed under the name Hevea brasiliensis (rubber tree). Lineage: Eukaryota; Viridiplantae; Streptophyta; Magnoliopsida; Malpighiales; Euphorbiaceae. The record is from RNAcentral.
AUACAUCAAAAACAAACAGGUCAUCUUAAAAUUAUAGUUUCAGCCAAACACCCUCUAAAGCCUUCCAUUUACUGGUUCAAACCAAUGCUUAGUCCUCAAAACUUAUGAUGCAGAGUGCAAUGUAAUAAUUACAAGAAAUCAAGGGAAUAACGAUUAAAAAAAAAAAGUUUAUGAACCAAGAAGAUUUGCACAUAUAAUCCCUCCUGUGAACUUCCAUAGACCCUAUCAUUUACAGAAAUCAACGACAGAGCUGAGUACACAACCCCUGAAUCUGAGAACUUGUUGCAUCUGGCAGUGUGUAUGUGGUGGAUUUUCCAUUGGUUGUGCACGUCAAAUUUAGCUGGUUGCCGAAUUGGUUAGACAAGCAGGAAGCAGGCUCGGUGUUACAGCUCCAUUUUCCAGUAGGCACACAAGACAAAUAAUGGCACCACGAACAAUGUUCAUUUGCAUCAACUCCCCGUAGAAGCAGAACCAGGCCAAUAGUAAACCUGUUAUAGUUGGUUUAGUUUCUUGGAAAUUAGAUGUUAUCAUGUGCAAUCCAUCCCAAACAUUUAAAGGUAGAAUCAAGCAAAUAUAGGAAUCCAGAAAAGAUAGCAAGAGUCAUCAAAUAAAACAUGGGAUGUCAAGCUUUCUGUCAAACAGUUUACUCAAACUCAUAUGUAAUGUUUGGGUCAUAAAGAUCAGAAUGUCCUUGUCCUUUUCCAAUUCUCAAAAGAUCUUCUCUUAGUAUUAACCUAAACAAGGAAACAGAACUUGUGAAAAAAAAAUGAACAACAAAUCUAAGAUUUUUACCCGACAAUGACAAUGAUAAGAGAAAUGAUCCACAAUAUGCACUGAUAGGCCUUGAAUUUAGAUUUAACUGAAACUGGAAAAUAUCCACGAGAAGCAUAUCUUUGGCUAACCCAUCCAAACUGUGGGCGUAUCAGAAAUACAAACCCAAGAAAGAAACCAGAAAGAAAUCCUCCAAUA